Molecule: ribosomal RNA, 383 nt
Filed under: uncultured eukaryote
Lineage: Eukaryota
Description: partial 18S ribosomal RNA
Rfam family: Eukaryotic small subunit ribosomal RNA
Source: RNAcentral
CAAUAGCGUAUAUUAAAGUUGUUGCAGUUAAAAAGCUCGUAGUUGGAUUUCUGGUAGGAGCGACCGUGCCGAACUUGAUUGUUCGAGUAUUGUGUUGUCUUCAGCCAUCCUCGUGGGGAACUUUUCUAACAUUAACUUGUUGGGAUUGGGACCCGCGUCGUUUACUGUGAAAAAAUUAGAGUGUUUAAAGCAGGCAUUAGCUUGAAUACAUUAGCAUGGAAUAAUAAGAUAGGACUUUGGUACUAUUUUGUUGGUUUGCAUACCAAAUUAAUGAUCAACAGGAACAGUUUGAGGAUAUUCGUAUGAACAUGUCAGAGGUGAAAUUCUUGGAUUUUGAUCAGACGAACUACUGCGAAAGCAUUUAUCAAGGAUGUUUUCAUUAA